Molecule: ribosomal RNA, 492 nt
Filed under: uncultured bacterium
Lineage: Bacteria
Description: partial 16S ribosomal RNA
Rfam family: Bacterial small subunit ribosomal RNA
Source: RNAcentral
GAUGAACGCUGGCGGCGUGCCUAAUACAUGCAAGUCGAGCGAACAGACGAUGAGCUUUCUCCUCUGACGUUAGCGGCGGACGGGUGAGUAACACGUGCAUAACCUACCUAUAAUACUUGGAUAACUUCGUGAAACCGCAUCUACUACUGCCUAAUACGUGCUACGGCUGGAUUCAAUGGGUAAUCAGGCUUUGCGGGCUUGUAUGAGACGAUGCCGGAUUAGCUAGUUGGCAAGGUAAGGGCUUACCAAGGCAACGAUCCGUAGCUGACCUGAGAGGAUGAUCGGCCACACUGGAACUGAGACACGGUCCAGACUCCUACGGGAGGCAGCAGUAGGGAAUCUUCCGCAAUGGGCGAAAGCCUGACGGAGCAACGCCGCGUGAGUGAUGAAGGUCUUCGGAUCGUAAAACUCUGUUAUUAGGGAAGAACAAAUGUGUAAGUAACUAUGCACGUCUUGACGGUACCUAAUCAGAAAGCCACGGCUAACUACGUG